This 1532-nucleotide ribosomal RNA is filed under the name Acinetobacter baumannii. RNAcentral's name for it is "partial 23S ribosomal RNA". It matches the Rfam family "Bacterial large subunit ribosomal RNA", at positions 1 to 1580 of the family's 2925-position model. Lineage: Bacteria; Pseudomonadati; Pseudomonadota; Gammaproteobacteria; Moraxellales; Moraxellaceae. The record is from RNAcentral.
GUUGUAUAGUCAAGUAAUUAAGUGCAUGUGGUGGAUGCCUUGGCAGUCAGAGGCGAUGAAAGACGUGAUAGCCUGCGAAAAGCUCCGGGGAGGCGGCAAAUAUCCUUUGAUCCGGAGAUGUCUGAAUGGGGGAACCCACCUACUUUAAGGUAGGUAUUGCAACAUGAAUACAUAGUGUUGCAAGGCGAACGAGGGGAAGUGAAACAUCUCAGUACCCUUAGGAAAAGAAAUCAAUUGAGAUUCCCUCAGUAGCGGCGAGCGAACGGGGAUCAGCCCAUUAAGUUAUGUGUGUUUUAGUGGAACGCUCUGGGAAGUGCGAACGUAGAGGGUGAUAUUCCCGUACACGAAAGGGCACACAUAAUGAUGACGAGUAGGGCGAGGCACGUGAAACCUUGUCUGAAUAUGGGGGGACCAUCCUCCAAGGCUAAAUACUCCUGACUGACCGAUAGUGAACCAGUACCGUGAGGGAAAGGCGAAAAGAACCCCUGUGAGGGGAGUGAAAUAGAUCCUGAAACCGCAUGCAUACAAGCAGUGGGAGCACCUUCGUGGUGUGACUGCGUACCUUUUGUAUAAUGGGUCAGCGACUUAUAUUCAGUAGCGAGGUUAACCGUAUAGGGGAGCCGUAGAGAAAUCGAGUCUUAAUAGGGCGUUUAGUUGCUGGGUAUAGACCCGAAACCAGGCGAUCUAUCCAUGAGCAGGUUGAAGGUUGGGUAACACUAACUGGAGGACCGAACCCACUGUCGUUGAAAAGCCAGGGGAUGACUUGUGGAUAGGGGUGAAAGGCUAAUCAAGCCUGGUGAUAGCUGGUUCUCCCCGAAAGCUAUUUAGGUAGCGCCUCGGACGAAUACCAUAGGGGGUAGAGCACUGUUUCGGCUAGGGGGUCAUCCCGACUUACCAAACCGAUGCAAACUCCGAAUACCUAUGAGUACUAUCCGGGAGACAGACUGCGGGUGCUAACGUCCGUAGUCAAGAGGAAAACAAUCCAGACCGCCAGCUAAGGCCCCAAAAUCAUAGUUAAGUGGGAAACGAUGUGGGAAGGCAUAGACAGCUAGGAGGUUGGCUUAGAAGCAGCCACCCUUUAAAGAAAGCGUAAUAGCUCACUAGUCGAGUCGGCCUGCGCGGAAGAUGUAACGGGGCUAAAACUAUGUGCCGAAGCUGCGGAUGUAUACUUUGUAUACGUGGUAGGGGAGCGUUCUGUAAGCCGAUGAAGGUGUGUUGAGAAGCAUGCUGGAGGUAUCAGAAGUGCGAAUGCUGACGUGAGUAACGACAAAACGGGUGAAAAACCCGUUCGCCGAAAGACCAAGGGUUCCAGUCCAACGUUAAUCGGGGCUGGGUGAGUCGACCCCUAAGGCGAGGCCGAAAGGCGUAGUCGAUGGGAAAAUGGUUAAUAUUCCAUUACUUCUGUGUAAUGCGAUGAGAGGACGGAGAAGGCUAAAUCAGCCUGGCGUUGGUUGUCCAGGUGAAAGGAUGUAGGCAUGUAUCUUAGGCAAAUCCGGGGUACUCUAUGCUGAGAUCUGAUAGCAAGCUGUACU